GUGUGUCUCUGGCUGAGGAAGAAAGGGCUUGAGAUGCUGGAUCCACACCUGAGCUGCUCCAAAUGCAGUGUCCUGCCGCAUGUCUCUAUCAAGUGUCCUUAGGAAAAAUAUUUCCUUCAAGACCACAAGGGAAAAAGAACAGAGAUUAAUAUGCAGUCAAGGUCAUGCUUUGGGCCAAAAAGCAGCAGAAGUGUGUGUCCAUGCUUUGAGGCUGCUGAGAAGACUGCUGCACUCUUGAAGCUGCCACCUGACUGCACCCUGAGAAGGUAGACAAUUCUGGGUUGCAGCUAUUGUACUGAAUGCCAGUUUUCAAGAACAAGAUGGUCCACAAGCUUAGCUCAUUAAUGAAGACACAACCUGGCAUUCCUCACUUGUGCAGCUGCUGGUACACUGGCCUUUGAUUUUAAAUCACCUCAACAGGAUAAGAGUUUACAGUCUCUGAAGGACAUGAUGUAUGUGAAGUGCUUGUCUGAAAGAAGCAUCCAACCUGAACUUUCUCAGGCUGAUGUUACUGGGUUCUGUGUACUUGUCUCUCACCUAUUUUGCAUGAUCUCAUGUCUGGGUACUGUGAUGGUUCAGAUUACUUCUUCCAGAUGAUGGUAAACCACAGAGACCACUGAGGCUGUUCUGGACAACAGGUCUAGGUUUAAAGGUGGUGCGAAUCACCUUUAGGGCCUUUCUACCCUCCCCAUCCAAGCUCCUCCUGCAGUUUUUGAUGAACUUGGGUGGCACAGCAAUUUCAGGCUAGUUUCAGCUCAUCCAUGAAAUCAGUGCUGACAACAAUAUCAAAGCUAUUAGGAAAUUCAUUUGUGGAAGGUCUCUCAUUUAACAGUCUAUUUUUACUCAAGCAUUUCAGCGUCUCGGGGUAGCACAUAUAACACUUACUGACCUUUUG
Non-coding RNA from Cyanistes caeruleus (blue tit), 895 nucleotides. NCBI's taxonomy places the organism in Eukaryota, Metazoa, Chordata, Aves, Passeriformes, Paridae. The record is from RefSeq and is a predicted model, not a curated record.